RNAcentral lists this ribosomal RNA (140 nucleotides) under uncultured bacterium. RNAcentral describes it as "partial 16S rRNA". It matches the Rfam family "Bacterial small subunit ribosomal RNA", at positions 355 to 511 of the family's 1533-position model. The record is from RNAcentral.
UGGGGAAUAUUGGACAAUGGGCGAAAGCCUGAUCCAGCAAUGCCGCGUGUGUGAAGAAGGUCUUCGGAUUGUAAAGCACUUUCGACGGGGACGAUGAUGACGGUACCCGUAGAAGAACGCCCCGGCUAACUUCGUGCCAG